GGGGCUGGUCACGCCCCUCUUGGGCUCCAGCAGCGGCGGCGGCGCCGGCGGCGGGGUGAGUCUAGGAGGGUCGAUUGGGGUGACGCAGGAGCCGGCGCCAGCUCCGGCGGCGGAGGUUCCGACCUCUCCUCCAUCCUCGGGAUAUCCAACAGCGGCGGCGGCGGCAGCGUCAGCGGAGGCGGCGGCAACGGCAACCUCCUGAACGAGAAGCUGAGGAUCCUCACGGACGGGGUGGGCCUGCUGCUCAGGGUCAAGUUCCUCCUGUUCCGGAAACUCUUCGGCCUGAUCGGCGGCGCCUCCGGCUGAACGCACCAGCAAAGACUUCCAAGCGCGCCAGUACAAAACCAACUGAAAUUAACUUUAAAAGCGCUCGCCACCGAUGAAAGCCUCGAGCCUGCGGCGACGGGCUUUAUCUGGUGACGGCGAAGGAGCACUGUGAUUUUAUUCGUAUAAGAUAAAAGCCGAGAGGUGGUGCCGCGGCGCCCUGCCCCUGCCGGAGUGUCGUGCCUGGCGUCCUGCGGCGUCCCAGCAGGAGGCAGGAGAGUUGCUAUCGGACACGCGCCUCUGCCGGGCGGCGGCACGGCACGACACGGCACGACACGGCACGACACGGCACGGCGGCAGGCCCUCCCUGAGUGGCCACCAUAAGAGCCACUCAGUGCAACAACUGCCCCCGUACAACGUCUGUUGUAUUCUGAGAACUAGCGAAAAAAGGAAAACAACGCGUCAUGUUGUUAGAUUAUUUUUCAAGUCCAUUUUGUUAAAAACUACUUUCAAACCAUUCCUUUUUCACUUUUAUUUUUUCAAAAUUUAGACAAUGUGAUUUUUCUACCGAGUGCGAUUCAGCCUGUAAAUAAUAGAUUAAGUGAAUGACUCGCGUGUGAGGCCGCGCCGUGCGUCCGUGUAGACACUGUCUACGACAGCACAUCCGAUUUACAUUAAUGGUAAUUGUAAACUAGAAUUUAUUCCCCCCCCCCUCCAGAGUGUAGAAAUAGUCAUGUCAUUUUCACUAGUAACGGUACGAUGCGUUUAAACGACAUUUGCUCGCUAUCUCGCCCGCCAAUAUCUUUGAUCAUGUCGCCCAUCCGUGUAAUCCUCAUGUCAUAAAGGUGAUAGGGGCGACUGCCGGCAUUCCCAGCCCAUGCGCUGCAGCGCCACGCCAUGGCCAUGCCAUCCUCAUCAUUGUCGUACCGCCUCAUUAGCAGCCCACUUACCAAUUUUGUACAUUUUCUAAGCUUAAUUUUGUCGACGUUUUUAUUUGCUCAUUUGCGGGCGUCGAGUAGGUUUAUGUUGUGUAGGGAGGCUCGCAGCGAAGGGGCCAUGCAGUCACUCUCGAACGUGACGAGAGCUCGAAAUUGAAUCUUGCCAAGAGGCACAGCGCCUACUAUGUGAGAAAGUGUGAUUGUGCUGGAAUUUUCUGUAUCCAGAAGCACAGAGAAAACACUCAUUGUGCGCAAAAUUUCGUUCGACCACCUUUAUCUAAUCGGUUUUCAAUUAUGCGGCAUUUCCUGUUUUGAUCGUGCCACGACAUUUAAUUUUGAGAGUGUGCCCGAGUGUUCAGUAGUGAGGCCACGAAGACGUCCCGUGGGUUCACUACUCGCAUAUUGGGCAUCAACUUGUGCAAUACGUGUAGUUACUAUAUCAUCGAGAAACUAGAGCUGUAUGAAAGAUGAAUGUAAAUAAUAAAAACAUAAAUAAAUAAUUGUAAAUUUA
This 1713-nucleotide long non-coding RNA is filed under the name Thrips palmi. Its description in RNAcentral is "uncharacterized LOC117649676". Lineage: Eukaryota; Metazoa; Arthropoda; Insecta; Thysanoptera; Thripidae. The record is from RNAcentral.